This 253-nucleotide ribosomal RNA is filed under the name uncultured bacterium. RNAcentral describes it as "partial 16S ribosomal RNA". It matches the Rfam family "Bacterial small subunit ribosomal RNA", at positions 524 to 776 of the family's 1533-position model. The record is from RNAcentral.
UACGGAAGGGGCGAGCGUUGUCCGGAAUCAUUGGGCGUAAAGGGCGCGUAGGUGGUGCUGUAUGUCUCCCGUGAAAGCCCACGGCUCAACCGUGGUGUGUCGGGAGAAACUGCAGGACUUGAGGCUGGGAGGGGCUGGUGGAAUUCCCUGUGUAGCGGUGAAAUGCGUAGAGAUGGGGGAGAACACUCGUGGCGAAGGCGGCCAGCUAGACCAGUUCUGACACUGAGGCGCGACAGCGUGGGGAGCAAACGGG